RNAcentral lists this transfer RNA (72 nucleotides) under Ovis aries (sheep). It matches the Rfam family "tRNA". Rfam says of the family: Transfer RNA (tRNA) molecules are approximately 80 nucleotides in length. Their secondary structure includes four short double-helical elements and three loops (D, anti-codon, and T loops). The record is from Rfam by way of RNAcentral. Lineage: Eukaryota; Metazoa; Chordata; Mammalia; Artiodactyla; Bovidae.
UCCCUGGUCUCUCAAUGGUAAAGAAUCCACCUGCCAAUGCAGGAGAUACAGGUUCAAUCCCUGUCUUGGGAA